Sus scrofa (pig) is the source of this 1555-nucleotide non-coding RNA. The record is from RefSeq and is a predicted model, not a curated record. Lineage: Eukaryota; Metazoa; Chordata; Mammalia; Artiodactyla; Suidae.
GGUUGAAUCAGAGCUGCAGCUGUGGGCCUACACCACAGCCAUAGCAGUGCCUGAUCUGAGCCGCCAGGUCUGCAGUCUACUUUGCAGCUCACUCACGGCAACACGGGCUACUGAGUGAGGCCAGGUAUCAAACCCGCAUCCUCAUGGAUAUUAGUCAGGUUUCUUACUGCUGAGCCGCAAUGGGACCUCCCCCAAGGACAUUUCUUAAUAAACUUCCUGCAUGCUAAUCUCCAUCUCAGAGUCUAUUUCCUGCAAUUUUUUUCUGAGUAUAAACUGAAAAUCCCUUGCCCUGUAGAUGUACAUUCAUCAGCGACAGGGAUGCCAUCAGCCUUACUUUGAACUUGAACUUGGCUUGAGCUUUUCCAUUGAAAUCUUAGAAUAAUCUCAUUUGGAGCAGCCCAACAAGUUAGUGAUAACAUCUCUUGUAAGCACUGAACUGAAAUGCAUUAAAAGGCAGUUUCAUUAAGUGAAAUAAAAAUCUUAAACUUCAGUCUAUAAAAGCCCCCGAAGCAAAGUUAUCAGUGACAGUCUCCAAAUGAGCAUUAAUUUCAUAACAGAAGUCAGCUCCUGGCUAGGGUGAAGUAUUCCUUUUUAACCCUUGAUCCUCUUUCUCUCGUCUCUACCUCAACAGGUACCAAGGCUGAAAACACCUGUGGGGAUAAAGUCUGUCCUAACCCCAUCACCUAAAUGUUCAGAUCCACUGAGUGGAAAGUCAUUUCUGUCCAAGACUGUCUCUUUAUCAGAAGGCUAAAGCUCACCCAUGGAUAGUGUUUGGGAUUGGUCUUGCCUCCCUCAACAGUGCAGUAGAGCUUGGCACUUGCACCAAGUAUGACCACAGGCCUAAGAAUUAGAAGCUGUUUCAAAAUGCUGAUUUUCGUCAUCUCUCUUCCCUAGGACUCUGCCUAGGGCUUGUGAAUCCCCUUUCUCAGGGCCUGGACAUGCUAAUCCAAAGGAUCUCCCAGAUUCUGAAAACUGUCCCAAUCUACAAGUAUCUGAUGUUGCAUUUAAGUCACUGUGGACCUUGAUGCUGAUUGGAUGUAGGAUCUUCUGUGAUUUGCUUCUUGAAUGAAUGCUUUGCUGAAGAUCGAGUGUCAUGAAGAGAAUUGGGCAUCUUUCCCUUAGAAUCUAUUCUCUGCUUGUACAGAGCCCAGAAAGGUGUAGCCAGGAACUGCCCUACUGGUGAGGAAGGAGGCGGGAAGACGCGGGAGCCCUCCCUGCGUACCCUUGAGGCCAGCUGCUGCUUUUGCCCUUUGGGUUGCGCCAGGUUCGGCCUCACCAAUGCCCCGUCACGCACGCGCACUCGCCGCCUCGGCCAUCACAGUACCUGCCAGGUCACAAACCGGUUCCCACCCGCUCGCGCUCUCACCCUGAGGCUCCGCCUUGUCUCACGCUGAUUGGGUGGAGCUCAAGAGGAGGUGUCCAAUCAGCAAUCCCUCCUGCUCAACCUAUUCCCACUUUUCCCGCCCCCUCCCCACCCCACCCUUCUGUCCCCGGCACCUGCCUUCUUUGUGACUGGUGCGCGCCCAGGUCACUCAGUGUGGCGGGGCGAGGCGUG